This 374-nucleotide ribosomal RNA is filed under the name uncultured bacterium. RNAcentral's name for it is "bacterial SSU rRNA". It matches the Rfam family "Bacterial small subunit ribosomal RNA", at positions 30 to 404 of the family's 1533-position model. The record is from RNAcentral.
AUUGAACGCUGGCGGCAUGCUUUACACAUGCAAGUCGAACGGCAGCGCGGGGGCAACCCUGGCGGCGAGUGGCGAACGGGUGAGUAAUGCAUCGGAACGUAUCCUGUAAUGGGGGAUAACGUAGCGAAAGUUACGCUAAUACCGCAUACGCUCGAGAGAGGAAAGUGGGGGAUCGCAAGACCUCACGUUAUAGGAGCGGCCGAUGUCCGAUUAGCUAGUUGGUGGGGUAAAGGCCUACCAAGGCGACGAUCGGUAGCUGGUCUGAGAGGAUGAUCAGCCACACUGGGACUGAGACACGGCCCAGACUCCUACGGGAGGCAGCAGUGGGGAAUUUUGGACAAUGGGUGAAAGCCUGAUCCAGCCAUGCCGCGUGC